GGCUGGGCUGGGACAGGUGCUGCAUCGAGCAGUGGAGGAGCCCUCCUCCCGCAAGCCUGGUGUGUAUCCAGAUUAAAACAAAGGAGGAUCCGUAACAUGCUGCUUAGCAACAAAAAGGAAUGAGCUGUGGAUCCACUCGACAGCCGGCUUGAAUCCCCAUGGAAUUACACUGAGUGAAAAAAGCCAAUCCCAAAAGGUUACGUACUGUAUGAUUCCAUUUCUUGAAAGGACGAAUUAUAGAAAUGAAGAGCAGAUUAGCGGUUACCAGGAGUUAGGGAGGGAAGUGGCUGUGGCUAUAAAAAGGAUCUGCGGUGAUGUAAAUGAUCUCUCUGGCUGUAUCUGUGUCGAUUGUCUGUGUUGGUGUGUGGUGUAGUUUUGCUAGGUGUUGGGGAAAGCUAGAUAAGAGGUUGUGAGGGGAAUGGGAAAAUAAACAAGGAGAGAAAUGAAUUACAGUAGAUGGGGUAGAGAGAGAAGAUGGGAGGGGAGGGAGGGGGGAUAGUAGAGGAUAGGAAAGGUAGCAGAAUACAACAGUUACUAAUAGGGCAUUAUGUAAAAAUGUGGAUGUGUAACCGAUGUGAUUCUGCAAUCUGUAUUUGGGGUAAAAUUGGGAGUCCAUAACCAACUUGAAUCUAAUGUAUGAAAUAUGAUAUGUCAAGAGCUUUAUAAUGUUUUGAACAACCAAUAAAAAAAAUAAAUUAAAAAAAAAAGGUGUAUGGGUUAAAAAAAGAAAUUUAAUUGACACAAUUAAGUUCAGGGCUGAAGGACAUCCCCAAGAAAGUGAAAGAGCCUAUGGUUAGUUGGUGGGUGGGAGGGAGUUUAGAGGGUACUGGUGAGCAGUUUGGGCUAAUUGUCUCUUUUUUCAGCCUUUUUCUGGUGCCACCUUAUUUGGUAGCCCACCUGCCAUUGUGGCCCCUCCCAAGGACCCUGGCCCUCUCCAAGCUUGUUUUUGGUGUCCUGGGAUGGUCUAUUCAUGCUUAGAGCAGAGAGAAGCUUUUGCCUGCGUUUAUAAUGUUCCUAGUGAAACUUGCUGUUGAUUGUACUCCAUGUCAGUUCUUGGUUCUUCUCUGCUUAGAUUUAAGGCUUUGGGUUUUAGAUUUCUUUUCACUUUUUACCUACAGUGGAACAUCACAGUGUUGAGUCAGGUUGGUCUGUCUGCUGCUGCUGUGAAUUCCUGGUAUUCAGAGGUGGGAAUAUGGCCUGAGAUGCCCUCAUAACGCUGUGUGCUCCCCAGCCAGAAAACCGGGCAUCCUUAUCUUGUGAGCCCAAAUCCUAGAGGUCAUCUUCAUUUUGGAAUAGAAAAGCAAGUGUAGGGAGCUUUAGUACCCGGUCCUUGGUCAUGCAUGACUGUGGUACAGCACUGCCACUUUGUGGUAGAUAGGAGAAAUCACAGAUGUGGACUGAGCCAGCCGCUUUCUGCUUGGGACUGGAAGCUGGAAUGCCUACAAUCCCUGGGUUUUUUGAACGUUGUAAAUUGAAUGGUGGUUGACUCUAGGACAAUUUAGUAGAAGGCCGUUUUAAAAGGGAAAGAAAAGAACUUCCUGCUAAUCUGGUAUUGUUGCAAUUAUUGCCAACAUGUGAGAUGUGACAUUUUUGUAUUCUUGAGUUUUAGGAGGAUGUCUGUGCUCUCAAAAUGAGAUUAGAGUUAGUAUCAAUGACAAGCAUCACCUCUAGGGGCUUGAAGAUUUCCAUUUUUUCAUUUCAUCUUUAAGUUGAAGAAAUGCAAAAAUAGGAUUAAGUAUUUAAGCAAGGAGGCAGAUAAUCCAGUUAUACAUUUCCUCUUCUCAACUCCCCAUAUUUUAUUUAAGAAUAAAAUGGAACAUAGUGAAACUACCUUAAGGCCAAGCAAAUUAGCUAAGCUAUCAAAGAGCUGGUAAUUUUGGAUUUCAUUUAAUGAUAGCUCUUGCCCUCCUGUCAACAGCAUCCACUUUCCUUUGGGAAACUGAUUUUUUUAAAAUAUCAUUUGUGUGUGUGUGUGUGUGUGUGUGUGUGUGUGAUGCUAUUUGCCAUUUACCAUUUUAAAGUGUACAAUUCAGUGGCAUUGAUUACAACCAUUAUGGCCAUUUAUUUCCAAAAACUUUCCAUCACACCUAACAAAAACUGUGUUCCCAUUUGCUCUCCUUGGGAUCUUGAAUGUCCUCCAAAGGCACAUAUGUUGAAGGCUUAGUCCCCAGCCCAUGGUGUACUGGGAGGUGGUAGAAUCUUUAGGAGAUUGGGUCUAGGUGAAGGAAGUUAGGUAUUGGAGGCAUGCCCUUGAAGGGAUAUUGGUACCCUGAUCCCAUCCCCUUCCUCUCUAUUUCCCCACUACAGUGAGGUGAACAGCCACUCCCCCUCAUGCUCACUGCCAUGAUAUGCUGCCUUGACAUAGGCCCAAAAGUAAGAAAGUCAAUCAACUGUGGACUGAGACUUCUGAAACCAUGAGCCAAAAUAAACAUUUCCUUCUUCAAGUUGAUUUAUCUCAGGUAUUUUGUCACAGUGAUAGAACACUAACACACUAUUUAACAAUAACUUCCCACUCUCCCCUCCUCCCAUCUGUAGGAGUCCAGCUCUGGCAGGGGGUCUCAGGAGACAAAUGGAUGGUGAGGAGUCAGGGAAACGGGGUGGAGAAACAACACAGACACAAAAGUGAAGGUGCUGAAUCCCAAUCUUUACUUGUGAAGUUAAUCAUAUAUACUCUGCGUUUUGGCAGGCUCGAAGUAUUUUGUGGUUACAAAACAGGAAUCAUUAUUCAAAGAAACAAAAUAUUAUGUAGCUACAAUUAGAUAAGAAGAAUGUAUCUUGGCUUAUGCAUAAGCAAGCAUUUUUACUUUCAGUUCCCGUUUUGCUUUGAGCUGUUUCUGCUUAGUUAGCUUUUAAUAAUAGUUAGAAAUGUCCCAGACUAUUGGCCUGUACCUUGACUAUUCUUUCUUGACUUACUGACUAGAACCGGCGCUGCAGUUAUGGCAGAUGGUUCACUUGAAAAGAGAGGCUACUAAUUUUAAUCAAACGAGCAAGAGCACAAACCAUUGUGCACAGGAACAAGAACAAGUUACCCAGUACUAAGCACUAAUCUUUCUUCUUAAUAUUAAUUCUUCUUCUCUAGAUUUAAUUUAAUUUCUCAAAAACUUCCUUGACUGUUUUUCCCACAGGGAGUUUCUCAUUAAACAUUAACAAUUUACUUUCCACAGCUGAAUCGUUGCAUUUAGAGCAAACAGAUUUAUUCUUUAGAAGUAGUUGCAUUAAUUGGGAAAGUCACUUUUUUUCCUUCAUACUUAAUGGUCAUAUGAGAAGUCGCAACUAUACUUAUUAAAAGAAUACAAAAACAAACCAGCCAAUUCCUAGAAGCAUACUGCACUCCUCCAGAGAAUGGACGCCUUGUGCCUUCCACCUCAGUAGGGCCUUGCCAUUGCCUGAGUCAGGGGAGGGGCGCAGCACCCAUCCACUGGAAACUUAAUAAAUUUGUCUAUCAUAUAUAUUUCAUAUAAUAGGGGUUCUUUUCACUUAGCUUACUUCCCUUGAAAACCAUGUUGUCAGGCUUCACCCAUGUUGUAGCAUAUACCAGAGCUUCAUUCUGUUCUCUGGAUGAAUAAUAUAAAAAGCGCAUACCACAUUUUAUUUAUCCAUUCAUCUGUUGACAGACACUUAGGUUGUUUGAGUAUUGUGAAUAGUGCUUCAAACAUAAUUUUUAUACAAGUAUCUGGUUGAGUCCCUGUGUUUGGGCCUUUGGGGUAUAUAAAUAAGAGUAGAAUUAUAGAGUCAUAUGGUUAAUUCAGCAUAUAGCUUUUUGAGGAGCAGUGAGUGACUACACCACUUUACGUUUCCACCAGCAGUAUUACAAGGGUUCUGAUUUUUCUACAUCUUCAUCAACAAUUUUACGUUCUUCUUUUUUCUAAAUAUAGCCAUCCUAAAAGGUGAGAGAAGAGGUAUUUCAUUGUGGUUGUAUUUUUGUUUUUGUUGUUUGGUGCUGGGGAUUGAAUCCAGAGCCUCAUGCCUGCUAAGCAGAUAUUCUACCACUGAGCUGCAUCCUCAACCCCUCAUUGUGUUUUUGAUUUACACUUUCCUAAAAACUAAUGAUAUUGAAUAUCUUUUCUUGUGUUUAUUGACUAUUCAUAUUCCUUCUUUGGAGAAAUAUCUAUUCAAGUCCCUGGUUCAUUGUUGAAUUGGGUUGGUUGUCUCUAUGUUGUUCAUUUGUAGAACUUCCUUAUGUAUUCUGGAUAUUAUCAUCUUAGAGGAAAGUUUGAUUUUGGCUAAGAGUUUUAGAGGUUUUAGUCCAUAAUUAGUUGACCUGUUGCUUUGGGUGAGCAAGCACAACAUGGUAGAAAUGUGUGGUAGAGCAAAAGUGUUCACCUUGUGGCUGAGAAGUGAAGAGGAAUGAUAAGAGACUAGGGUCCCACAGUCCCUUUCUGUGGUACACCCUGAGUGACCUGAACAUUCUCCACUGGGUCACACCUCUUAAUCUUCUACCAUCUCCUAGUAGCACUGUUCUGAGGACCAAGCCUUUCACACAUGGGUUUUGGUGGGGCAUUUAAAAUUCAAACUAUAUCAAUAGGCUUUGACACAUACAAGUUUUUAAUUUUAAUUAAAUCCAAUUUAUCAAAUUUUUUUGUUGUUGUUCUACUUGGACUUUCUGUUCAUAUCUAAGAACCCAUUGCCAAACUCAAGGUGAUGAGUUUCAAGAAACUCCUAUGGUUUCUUCUUAGAGUUUUAUGGUUUUAACCCUUAUAUUUAGGUCAUUGGUUUGACUUAUUUUUUUUUUAUAGAGUAUGAAGUAGGGGGCCAACCUUACUCUUGGGUAUGGAAAUCCAGUUGUUCCAGCAUGAUACAUUGAAAAACUGUUCUUUUCCCCAAUGAAUGGCGUUGGUAUUUGUAAAAAGUCAAUUGGCCAUAAACAUAUGGGUUUUUUUGAGGAUCCCUGGUGUAUCAAGUAUUACAUCUCUCUUGCUGUUUUUAAUACUCUCUUUUGUCUUAUAACCAGUUUGAUUAUAAUAUAUCACAGUUUCAGAGGUUCAGUCCACUGUUGGCUGACUCCACAGCUCUGGGCCCUGAGUGAAGCAGAACAUCACAGAGAAGGAUGUGGUGGAGAGAAACAGCUCAGUAGAAGGCAAACAGGAACCAGAGAGAGACAGUUCUGCUCACCAGGGACAAAAUAUAAACCCCAAAGUCAUGUGCUUGUGAUAUACUUCCUCUACAUACAGCAUAUAUGCCUACAGUUACCACUCAGUUAAUCCGCAUCAGUGGAUUAAUCCACAGAUUAGGUUAUAUCUCUUAUAACCCAAUCAUUUUGCCUCUGAAAAGUCAUGCAUUGUCUUCCAAGUGAGCCUUUGGGGGACACUUCAUAUCUAAACCACAACAAUACUAUGGCUUGGUACCAACUUUCAAUUGAUUAAUUUGCUUAUCAGCCAGGUUUCUAUUAGGACUGACAUGACUUAAUCAUGUGAUUCUGAACAUUUUGAAUACUUAAACUGAGCAUUGGUUUCUCAUGCAGUACAUAAUCUGCCUUAUUUUUUUUUUUUGUGGGUGUGUGGUGUCCAAUUUUCAUAUAUGCUAGAUAUUACAUAAAUGUAAAUUCUCAUGGCCUUACUAUUGUAUAGAAAACAUGUUCAGAUUAUUUAGUAAGACAUGUGAAACUGAAGAGAAUGGUAAAUACAACUGUAGAUAAUAAAAUAUUAGAUUCAAGCUCUUGUAACAUGCAGGCUUCUUUCAAACAGUGCAGUUUCUGACCUGUAGCUGUUGUCACAUUAUUGAUGCAUGACAUUUACAGAUGUUGUUAACAGUUAAUAAUCAGGUCUAGAACACUCUCAAACUGCAAAAGAAUGUGCUUUGAAACAAAUGUGUCAUUAAAAAAAUUUUUUUUAAAGUAAGUGAGUCUUGAAAUAAUGUACUUUGGAGAUCCUAGUAUAUCAAUGCAGGUAAAAUGUAAAAUGUUAUUCUAUUUUUAUUUAUUUAUUUAUUUAUUUAUUUUAGAGUGGAAAGUAGAAGCUUUAUUAAAGGACAGCAGAAAAGACUUCUCCCUAGAGGAAGAAGGGUACCUAAAAGGUGGAAUCCAUGGAAGGGGGAGGUCUUCCCUCUUUUAUAGCUAAGGUCUACUUUCAGCUUUCCUGCAUUCCUGUUGCAUUCCUGUCCUUUGUUCUCUGUUAUCUUGCAGUGAUGGAAUAUAGGUGGGAAGGCCCAAAAGGUGGGGGACAGGUGAGCUGAUGGAGUAAUCUGGGCAGGGAGGGCCUGGGGAGGCCUUUGGAUUAGCGUCUCCAAGUUUGCUGGGAGCUGCUUCAUUAACAUUUCCUUGGGAUGGGCUGGGGGGCCUUGGGGACAUUAACAUUUCAAUUUCCCCAAGUGCUGCUCUGGUUUCCUGGACUCCAUUUUCUAUAAUGGCCUUCAUUCUUGAUUUUACUCGAUAUUAGACCUGAUUUACCUAACUACACUAACUACCUAUCUGUAAAUCUGGCUUCAUUCCCCCCUCUAAUUUUGGGAACUCCUUACUGCUGUGAGGAAAGAGGGCCAUGACCGUUCUGUCUUCUUUGAGCUCAAAGGGGACAGUAUUAAGCAAGCAGUUUUAGAGUCCCAGAGACCCUGGGAGGAUUCAGACUUAAGGGCCUUACUGCUUUCCUCCCUGCCACUAAAAACCCACAGCAAAAGAGAAUCGCACACUCUUCUUGUUGCCUUUUUGCUCCGUAGACUAAAGGAAUCUCCUGGGGAUGAGGGAUAUCUACGGGUUGUAAGGCAUAUAGCGCUUUCUAUCAGAGAGACUACUGGAAGAGUUGAUUCUAAAAAUGCCUCCCUCUAGCAGCUUAAAGAGAACACAGCACAUUCUAAACAUUGGAGCAGUAAUGGGAAAUUUUAAAACAGACCAGUGAAAGUUCCUAUGCACAUGAGGGGAACCUGGGCACCUUUCACUGAUCAUCCCAUGUCUUUCUUAGUCCUACAACCUGAAUUGCUAGCCUUUCUGACCGGUGAAGGAAGGGGAGCAUCCAGGAGGGAAUGGAUGCGGGUUUGGGAGUGUUGCGCAGCCCACAUGGAGGCAAAUGUGAUUGGGGCUUUCCCUCAGUGCCUUUCAUCUACCAAUCACCCCAGAUACCCCUUAGGGCUAUCGGGAGGGGGUUCAAGAGAAAGGAACCUUAGGAAUACAUCUGAGUGUAGCCCAGACCAGAAUUCUGCAGUUGUUCCAAACUCCUUCCUCCACCUCCACGCAUCCCAGGCAGAUUGGGAUUAGAGACACUGUGUACUCAGGUCAAUUGCUCUCCGGGCCCAGACAGAAAAGUGGGAAGUAGUUUUGGCAGAACCCAACAUGCCUGCUCUGUAUGGAGAGCUGCCUAGGCCGGGAAACCUCUCACCUGAAUCUUGAAGAGUGGUGGCUGCACUUACUGCGUUUUGUUGGGAAAACAUAACGGCGGCAGCACCCCAGAAAAAAAACCCCAUCAUGGCAUCUAAUGACCCUCUUUACCCUCUUUGUUUCUUUCACUGGCACGAAAUGUUCCCGCCGGCGCCAAUGUUCAAACCCUGCUGGUGGGAAGCCUUAGCCCCAAUUAGAAUUAACUUCUUGGGCUCCGGAACUGACAUAUGGAAGAGCUUGCCAAUAAACAGGCGACCUGUUAUCUACGUCAGCCCUGCAACCUCUCCUUAGACCUAUAUAAACACACAGCCUUUUGUAAUAAAGCGGAAACCUCUUUGGUGAUCUGUGUCGUGUGGUGCGGUGUCUUCCAGUCUUACAUGUUUAAGUAGCCAUUUGGUGCCCACAUCACCCUCCAGAAAGAAAGAUGCACCUCAGAUAGACGUGUGGUGUGUGUAGAGGCUCUUACCUCCGUGUAGAUCUCAGUGGGGAGCCUCCAAUCUGUAACCGCUGUUUACAGAUGACAAGUCCUUGCUUUCCCGAAUGCUAAAGUAUAACACCAGAGAAGCACACCGAGGCAAGUUUAGAGUGGAAAGUAGAAGCUUUAUUAAAGGACAGCAGAAAAGACUUCUCCCCGGAGGAAGAAGGGGACCCAAAAGGUGGAAUCCUAAAAUGUUAUUUUAAUCACAUAAACAAAUUUUCUCUUUAUGUGACUUUUUAUAGAUUUAUCUUUUUUUUUUUUUAAGAAAGAGAGAGAGAAAUUUUUAAUAUUUAUUUUUUAGUUUUCGGUGGAUACAACAUCUUUAUUUUAUUUUAUGUGGUGCUGAGGAUCGAAACCAGGGCCCCACGCAUGCCAGGUGAGCGUGCUAUCGCUUGAGCCACAUCCCCAGCCCAAGAUUUAUCUUUUUACAUUUCAGAAAUACUAUGCAAUUCAGUUGAAUGCCUAAUAAUUCUUGAGAUCACUGUAUUUUCAUUGUCAUUUCUAACACUUUUAUACAUCAAUUAGUGAAGAAACGUCUUCACUAAGGCCUGAUGUCUCAGGUAUAUUAUAUAAUAUAAAGGUAAAAGUGAUAUGUUACUGAUAAUCAUGAAGCUUUUCAAGAAUAUCAUUUGUGUUUUCACUGAAAAAUUAAAUUCCUCUUUUCUGCUGAUGACUUUUAAAAGAUUUAUGCUGACAUUCAUGGAAAAACUAGUGACGUCCAAAUGAAGUCGGAAGUUUAGUUAAUAGCAAGAAAUAAAUGUUAGCAUCUUCAGUUUGGCAAAUGUAUCAUAUAAGAUGACCAUCAGGGGAAAGUGUACUGGGAGAAUAAGAGGGCUCCCUGAAUUGUUCUUCCAAUUUUUCUAGGAAUCCAAAUAAAAAUUGUAUUAAAAUAACUGUUAUUUAUAAAUUUUGAAUUUUAUGAUCUCUGCUUUUAAAAAUCUUAUGAGCUAGCGGGGCAUGAUGGUACGUGCCUUUAAUCCCACCAAUUUGGGAGGCUGAGGUAGGAAGAUUGCAAGACUAAAGCCAGCCUCAACAACCUAGUAAGACCAGGUCUCCAAAUAAAAAAUAAAAAGGGCUGCGGAUGUAGAUCUGUGGUAAAGAACCUCUGGGUUCAAUCCCCAGUACCAAACAAAUGAUGAGCUAAAAGAAUACAUUUCUAGUGUAAUUAUUAUUAGUAGUAGUACCAGGGAUUGAUCCUAGAGGGCGCUCAAUCAUUGAGCUACAUUCAACCACCACCUCCUCUUCUUUUUUUUUUUGGAGUCAGGGCCUGGCCAAGUUGCUCUGAGGCUGGCUUUGAAUGUUCCAUACUCCUGCCUCAGUCUCUGGAGCUGCUGAGAUUACAGGUUACGCCACUGCAGUGGAUAAAUUUCUAUUAUUUUAUGUAACUAUAUGCUGUUGGUUUUAAGAAAAUAUUCUUGGUAAUACGAAGCUCUCCCCCAAAAUUAUUUUUGCAAUUUCUUAAAAAAAUCCUAAUACACAAUUUCUUUUUGGCAAGCCCAUUAGCUCUUCUUCUAAUUUUAGAUAGAUUGCAUUAUUUUAGAUUCUUUUCCCAUAUCCUUGUAAUAUCGUGAAAGACUGGACCUGACAUGGACAAUGUAUAAAUUAGACUAUUUUCUGGACCAAAUUGUUCCUGUAUUACAGAACUAAAGAAUGAUUCUGUCCUUAACACCCAAAAUAGAAAAUUGCAGCAAUUUUUUUUACAAUAUCUUUAAGAAACAUUUUGCAUCUAUAAUUAUGUCACAUUUAAUAUUACUAGAAAAAGUCCUUUGUUUUUGGGUUCUAACAAAUUAAAAGUUGUAUAUCAUUGUGAAACCAAAAGAGAAGCAAGUAACAAAUGAAUUAGGACCAUGGAAACGAAGCUGGAAUGAAGGAAGACUACCACAGCACUAUCUCAGAGGCCGACAAUUAUAAGAUUUUAAACAUGCUACAUUAAAUUCAACAAACUUUUUUUAAAAAGACCCUAGAAGCUUUUGAUCAGUAAGAUCCAUUCAGGCAGUCAUUUACUGUGUCAGUCACUGUUUGGGGCUCAGGGGAGUCACUGCUUAACAAAAGCACCCUUGCCACCUGUUCUCUUAGAGUUGCCUGCAGAGCUUACAAAGAAAUGAGGGAAACAGAUUCUAACAGGGAGCUGGUGCAAAAAAAAAAAAAAAAAGACUGCAAAAUAAAUUGCAGUCAUCCUGAGGCUAUGUGCAUGUGCAUUCAUAUGUAUGUAUACUUAUUUAUGUUUUAUGUAUAUGAAUGUAUACAUAUAUGAAUACAUGUGUUUAUGUAUAUACAUAUCUUUAGUACAAAUGUAUAUAGCCUGUCUUUUUGUUUGUUAUGUGCAUAUUUUCUUUUUUCUUUCCUAUUUUCUUUAAUGUUCUUUUUUUUUUUUUUUUUUUGAGGGUCACAGUGGAUGAUAAUCAUUCUCUUAUAAACUCAUUUGUUGUCAGUGGAAAGUAAAACUAUUUCAGGGUUGUGUCAGAAGGGAUCUCACUUGCUACUGGGGUUGUUUUUUGUUUGUUUUUUGUUUUUGUUUCCAACUCUUCUUUAAAAAUAGUCUAGUUUUAUUUUUGUAAAAUAUCAUACAGAUGUAGAUGUUUCUACAAAUACGUAUCUUAAUGUACACUUGGGUGUCUGGGGGAGAAAGGAGAGGGAAAUUUCCCUCUUUCUGUAAGUCUGGAUUUCUUGGCUUCAUUACAAGGACACAUAUAGUGUUUGCAACACUUUUAAAGUGUAUGUAGAGCAGUCCUCCGUGCUGAGAUCCGUGUGGAAGAGAAGAGGUUCACAUUUAUGGAAUUACGAACCUGGUGGAAACAUUCUGUUGCAGGAUGGUGAUAGAACUUGUGUGAAGCCCAUCCACAUCCCUUGAAACAAAACGUUUCAAAACGUACAUGAAAGCUAAUUCCACUGGAAAAAAGAAGGGAAGCUCUGGUGGGCCAGAAAACCUCCCAGCAAGUACUAAAAAGACAGAAAGCUGCUUUAUGAACUGUGGCUGACAAUGAAGUGUCAAUGAAGGUUCAUCCACUUUAACAAUGAUGUACCACUCUGGGGUGGGGGAUGUUGGCAGUGGGGGAGGGACAAAAGGGAUAUGGGAAAUCUCUACCUUCUCAUUUUGCUGUGCACCUAAGGGUGCUCUAAAUAAAUAAAUAAAUAAAUAAAUAAAUAAAUAAAUAAAUAAAUAAAUAAAUAGAUGGAGGUUUAUUUGUCUGUCUGUCUUAAAUGGAAAGCUGGGAUCAAUUCAACUCUAUGACUGAUCCAAACAUUCACAGAAUACUGCUAUAAAAGAUGGAGAGAGCUCCAGGAAAACCUUGGGUCAGUUCCAUCAUUCCCUGGGGCCCUCAGGUCGGGUAAUCACCCAGAGUGCUUAGGUAGAUGCUGAGGUCCAGCCCCGGCAAGGGUCCAGGGUGGUCCUGAAGGAGGAGUGGCAUCUGGCGAAAGAAGAAGAGUUGGGACGACAGGUUGCAAGUUAUGAGCAACCUCCAGAAGACAUCUCCCUGCCCCAGGAGGGCCCUUUAUUUUUAUACCUGUUUUACGGGUGUUUUUUCAGGUAGUUAAUGGAUAACUUCAAAGCCCAAAACUUUUUUGAUUUACAUAAUUUUCAAGAAUUACAACUUUUCUGACAUACAUUGAUUACCUAAGAUUUUGAGUACAUUGUUCAAAAUAUUUUUCUGUAACCUUAGUCAAUCAUGAUUAAGCUUUUAAGUUUUCACCUCAAUCACUAGGUGCUAGGCAAUGCAACUAGACUAUAAAAUGACUCCUGACUUAUUAUUCACUUCUAACUUUAAAGCAUACCUAUAAUUAUUUCAUUAACCUUUAACUUUAAAGCAUACUUACAAUUAUUGGUAAGCUUUCUUACUUCUAAACUAAAUACACUUAAAAUAGUGAAAAUCUAUUAUUUAAAAGCCUAUUACUCUGAAGUGCCUCUAAAAUAUAUCUAUGUUAAUUUUACAUUAUUCUAUUUUAAUUUCCAAGGUAAUUUCCUUUUUUCAUAUGACCUAUUCAACUGCUUUCUGAAAGAACUUCCCUGAUCCUUGGUCAAAGCACACCAUUUCUCAUGUCUUUGUAAUCUUUAACUAAAGGCAGGCUUUACACCUCAACCCAUUUGUCAUUUAUAUUAACUAUGUGUUUUCUAUUUUCAUCAUAAGUUUCUGCAUAAAGCAAAGGAGGGUAUAUUGGUUGGGGAAUGUAUUUUUAUUAGCCUCUUGUCCUCGAGGGGAUACCAUAAGCUACAUACGGCGGUCCUUGUACUGUCGGCACAGCAAUUGUUUUUCUGUAGCUAGGCUAUUGUACAGGUUGUGGCUUUAGGAUGGGGUUGGGGGGGUGGGGCUAGUGUAAAUUGUUAACCAUGAGAUAAAUAUUUCUUGUUGCUUAGGCUUGAGGAAUAACACCAUUGUUUGUAUCCUGAGAGACACUGAAACGUGCCUCAAGGCAUAUCUCAAUUGUAUCCUUAGUCUCAUUCUGGGAAUUUUCCUGCAAUCUCAGGCAAUAUGUACUUUUAUUAAUGAUUGACAUAUGCCCUGUUAUCCAUAUCAUGAGUAUCACAAACAAAACACUUAACAUUCCUAAUGAUUCCGGUUUCCAGAUGGUGCGGCCUUGCCACAGCAUCCCCCACGCUGUGACCCUGUCAGACAGCGGGUGCAGGAACACCUUCACCAGGUAGAGACCUCAGCAGCCAGACAGGAAGAUCAGAAAUGUGAGGUCUGUUUCUCCAACCAAGGUGAAGAGCAAAGCUUUACCAUAUUUAUUUGGCACACUUUGAGAAGAGUAUACUAAAGUGACUGACUAGCAAAACUGCAAAAUGCAUACAGCAUUUUAAAGAUCUGAUCUGAUACUGGAAACUUUCCUGUUGAAGUUUGAUUAUUUUUAUCUUGUGUUAUUCUGGAAACUGCUGUAAAAAAUGGUCUAAGGUGGAGGGAAGAUCUCAAUUAUUUAAUAAAAAAUUGGAGUGACGAUUGAGA
Molecule: long non-coding RNA, 12721 nt
Filed under: Marmota monax (woodchuck)
Lineage: Eukaryota; Metazoa; Chordata; Mammalia; Rodentia; Sciuridae
Source: RNAcentral